UACGUAGGGUGCGAGCGUUGUCCGGAAUUAUUGGGCGUAAAGGGCUCGUAGGCGGUUUGUCGCGUCGGGAGUGAAAACCUUGGGCUUAACUCAGGGCUUGCUUUCGAUACGGGCAGACUAGAGGUAUGCAGGGGAGAACGGAAUUCCUGGUGUAGCGGUGAAAUGCGCAGAUAUCAGGAGGAACACCGGUGGCGAAGGCGGUUCUCUAGGCAUGAUCUGACGCUGAGGCACGAAGGUCAGGGGAGCAAACGGG
Molecule: ribosomal RNA, 253 nt
Filed under: uncultured bacterium
Lineage: Bacteria
Description: partial 16S ribosomal RNA
Rfam family: Bacterial small subunit ribosomal RNA
Source: RNAcentral